Molecule: ribosomal RNA, 1518 nt
Filed under: Glaesserella parasuis
Lineage: Bacteria; Pseudomonadati; Pseudomonadota; Gammaproteobacteria; Pasteurellales; Pasteurellaceae
Description: partial 23S ribosomal RNA
Source: RNAcentral
AGUUAAGUGACUAAGCGUACACGGUGGAUGCCUAGGCAAUCAGAGGCGAAGAAGGACGUGCUAAUCUGCGAAAAGCUUGGAUGAGUUGAUAAGAAGCGUUUAAUCCAAGAUAUCCGAAUGGGGAAACCCGAUGGAUGAAGAAUCCAUCAUUUCAUUAUGAAUCCAUAGUAAUGAAAGGCAAACCGGGAGAACUGAAACAUCUAAGUACCCCGAGGAAAAGAAAUCAACCGAGAUUUUGUAAGUAGCGGCGAGCGAAAGCGAAAGAGCCAGUGAGUGAUAGCAGCAAAGACAGAAGAAUUGGCUGGGAAGCCAAGCGACACAGGGUGAUAGCCCCGUAUUCGAAGUUUUUGUUGUGGUACUAAGCUUGCAACAAGUAGGGCGGGACACGAGAAAUCCUGUUUGAAGAUGGGGGGACCAUCCUCCAAGGCUAAAUACUCCUGAUUGACCGAUAGUGAACCAGUACUGUGAAGGAAAGGCGAAAAGAACCCCAGUGAGGGGAGUGAAAUAGAACCUGAAACCGUGUACGUACAAGCAGUGGGAGCCCUUUGGGGUGACUGCGUACCUUUUGUAUAAUGGGUCAGCGACUUAUAUUUUGUAGCGAGGUUAACUGAAUAAGGGAGCCGAAGGGAAACCGAGUCUUAACUGGGCGGAUAGUUGCAAGGUAUAGACCCGAAACCCGGUGAUCUAGCCAUGGGCAGGUUGAAGGUUGGGUAACACUAACUGGAGGACCGAACCGACUAAUGUUGAAAAAUUAGCGGAUGACUUGUGGCUGGGGGUGAAAGGCCAAUCAAACCGGGAGAUAGCUGGUUCUCCCCGAAAUCUAUUUAGGUAGAGCCUUAUGUGAAUACCUUCGGGGGUAGAGCACUGUUUCGGCUAGGGGUCCAUCCCGGAUUACCAACCCGAUGCAAACUGCGAAUACCGAAGAGUAAUGCAUAGGAGACACACGGUGGGUGCUAACGUCCAUCGUGGAGAGGGAAACAACCCAGACCGCCAGCUAAGGUCCCAAAGUCUAUAUUAAGUGGGAAACGAAGUGGGAAGGCUUAGACAGCUAGGAUGUUGGCUUAGAAGCAGCCAUCAUUUAAAGAAAGCGUAAUAGCUCACUAGUCGAGUCGGCCUGCGCGGAAGAUGUAACGGGGCUAAAAUAUAGCACCGAAGCUGCGGCAUCAGGCGUAUCACUAAUACGCCUUACGAUUAACAACAUCGAAUGAAGUGAAACGGRAUGAGAUGUUGGUCAAGCAACCCGAACGUUGAGUCGGAAAGUAAUCGAAGAGAGGAUUAUUAGUGAUACGYCUGUUGGGUAGGGGAGCGUUSUGUAAGCGGAUGAAGGUGAAUCGAGAGGUUUGCUGGACGUAUCASAAGUGCGAAUGCUGACAUAAGUAACGAUAAAACGAGUGAAAAACUCGUUCGCCGGAAGACCAAGGGUUCCUGUCCAACGUUAAUCGGGGCAGGGUGAGUCGGCCCCUAAGGCGAGGCUGAAAAGCGUAGUCGAUGGGAAACGGGUUAAUAUUCCCGUACUUG